UUCCUUCCUAUCAAGCCAUGGACUAAUGAUCAAGGAGUGGGACCAUUUAUCAGACCUGUCCAGUCUAUGAAUUCCACCCCAAGGGCCACAGUUGUGCACGGGCAUUGAGCCAAUCCCUGGACUUCUGCUGGCACGUGGGAGGAAGGACUCUCUCUUUCCAUGAGGAUUGCUGAGAGGAAGCCUAGGGCUGCCAGCAAUCAUCCUGCCACCGCAUGGGAGGUGCACACCUGAAUGAAGGCAACAGCCGCAGAGAGCAAAGCCCACAUGGAGGAGCCAGGACAGGAUGGAGACAACAAGGCUUGAGCCCCUAGAUCCGGGCAUGCCUGGCCUUUUAGUUGCUCGUCUGAUCUCUAUUGGAUACUUCCCUCUGGAGGAAGCCAACUGCUUUGCUGGAAGCAGCCCUGGGGAGAUGCCAUGGAGUAAGAAACUGAAGCUUCCAACCAACAGCUGUCAGGGAACUGAAGUCUCUUUCCAAGAGCCAUAUGAAUUAGCUUAGACAUGGAUCUUCCAUCCUAGCCAGCCCUUGGAAGACCAGCCCCCAGCCUACAUCCUGAAUGCAACCUCACUAGAGACCCUG
This 577-nucleotide long non-coding RNA is filed under the name Pan troglodytes (chimpanzee). RNAcentral describes it as "long non-coding RNA NONPTRT011936". Lineage: Eukaryota; Metazoa; Chordata; Mammalia; Primates; Hominidae. The record is from RNAcentral.